CUAUAAAAGCCUCAAGCACUGGAGAAGAGGUGCAGAGUUUUCUGGCUCUGGAAACACCAACCAGCUGGGUUCUUUAGAGUCUGAGGUCUGAGUGCCCUGCCAGUCAUUGCAGAGCAGUAAGUUAUCACCCUCAGAUAAGGAUGUCCUUUUCUUACUAUGGUUAGCUAAUGUUGAAGGGUAGUGUGUAUCUGUGGAUGGCAAGCAGAGUUUUCAGAAAAAAUAAUUUCUCUCCCAAGAACACAUUUCAGGUUUUUAUUUUUCCUCCCAGUGUAGUUUUGUCUGAAUCUCAAACAUUUUGAUUUGUGAUUUAACUGGUAUCAUUUUAAAUGUCUUUACCAAGCAGAUAUUUUUAAUGCAGCACAUAAGUUUGGAAUUUUAUUUCUUGAAAUUUAAGAUACAUAUUUAGUUCACAAAUGGCAUUCAUCUUAGGAAUAACUGACAAUGGAGGUUGUAUGGAUCCACAUGACUCUCCUCUUCCCAUAGAGUUAGAGCUCUAAGUGAUGGUCAUAUUUUCCCCCAAUAAAGAUACAGUCAGCUUUCAUGCACUUCAGUAUGCAUUUCUAGGUGGGACAUGAAAAAAGCAAAGCAGUAGAUGGACCUGAAUGGGCUAGUGGUUGCCUUUUGCCUCCUUAGUACUAGCAAUCUCGCUAGUUCAUAUUCAGAGUAAAGAAAGAGUUAACACCUUGUCCCCCUGACCCCUGCCUAGUGUAUUAUGGCUAAGUGCCUCACUUGCAUCCCAGCUAGAGCAGUGAUCUUGGCCCUGAGUGGAUUCCUUGGAAGGGUAGGGAGACUGCCUAAGGUAUGCUCCUGAAUUGCCUAAAAUGGACCACUUGUUCCCUGGCAGUUUCAACAGGAGUCAUUUUGGAGCAGAGUCAGCAUGAGUAUCCAGACCCCACCCAGACUCCUUGACCUGGUGGGAAUGCACCUGCCGAGAGAUGAUGACUUGGCCUUUUCUACUCUGGUGAGUCUGCCCACAGAGCUCUUCCCACCCUUUUCCUGGAAGCCUUCCAUGGAAGAUGUGUUGAGACCCUGGAAUCAAUGGUGUAAACCUGGCCCUUUGGCCGCCUGCCUCUGGGGGCCCUGAUUGACCUGGCUCAUGUGGGGCCCCUACAAGCUGGAAGCACUCGAUGUCCUGCUUGCUCAGAAGGUCCGAUACAGGAGGUGCAAACUGCGGGUGCUAGAUUUACGAAACAUGGGCCAGAACUUCUGGAGCAUGUGGUCUGGAGCCAGCAGUUAUGGGUGCUCAGGCUCAGGAAUGGCACUAAUGACUGAGCCCAGGUCAACGACAAAGCAGCACUUGGCUCCACUAAAGAUUUUUAUGGACCUUUGCCUGAAGAAAAAGACCCUGGACAACUUCCUCACCUACUUCCUUUGGUGGGUGGAGCAGAGAAAGUCUUCCAUCCACCUGUGUUGUUAAGAAGCUGAUGAUUGUUUCAAUGCCAAUGGACAAUAUCGUGAAGGUCCUGAGCGUGGUGCAGCUGGACUGCAUCCAGGAGGUGCAAGUGAGUUGCACCUGGAAUCUGUCCACCCUGGCCACAUUUGUUUGCUCCUUUCCUGGGUGAGAUGAGUAAUUUGCAGAGAAUCCAUUUCUUCCCCAUCCACGUGUCUGCCUUUAAGAAGCAGGAACAGGAUUACCUCCCAGUGCAAAUUACCUCCCAGUUCCUGAGGUUGGGCCACCUCCAGGAUCUCCAUCUGGAGUCUCCCUCCUUCCUUGAAGGCUGCCUGGACCAGAUGCUCAGGUGCCUGAAGUUCCCCUUAGACAGCCUGUCAAGAACCAGUUGCUGGCUUACAGAAUCACACUUGACUUCCCUGUCCCAGAGCCCAAACAUCAAGUCAGCUAAAGGGCCUGGAUCUGACUGGUGUCACCAUGACUGACUUUAGGUCUGAGCUCCUCCAAGUUCUGCUGCAGAAAGUCGCAGCCACCCUCCAGGAACUGGACUUAGAUGCAUGUGGGAUCACAGACUCCCAGCUGGAGGCCUUCCUGCCUGCCCUGAGCCGCUGCUCCCAGCUCAGGGCCGUCAGCCUGUGUGGGAACCUCCUGUCCACGGCCGUCAUGGAGAAGCUGCUGAGACACACCGCUGUGCUGCCUUGUUUAAGGCCAGAGCGUUAUCCUGCCCCUCAGGAGAGUUACAGACCUCGGGGUGUUCUCCUGGAAGCGAGACUUGCCCAGCUUCAGGCUCAGCUGUUGGAGAUUCUGAGAGACUUGGGACAUCCCAGUAUCAUCUGGAUUAGCCCCAGCCCCUGUCCUCGCUGUGGGGAGGAGGUAUGCCAUCACACGGAGCCCAUUAUAUACAGCUGUCCUGCCCCUGCCUAGGGCAUUGCUUGCUUCUGUGCACCUUGAAAUGGAAAUCUAGAACUUGGGGAUAUCAUGAAGGGAACACAGACCUAGGGUUCCAGAUAUCUGCUCAAUGUGAACGGGGAAAGGAAAGGUGAUAGUGGGGGUGGUGCAGGAUUGCAGGGGGAUUUGUAGACUCUGGGAGAGGAUGGGACUUCCAUGGACAUGUGCUUCCAGAAUCUGAUAUGAACCUGAGUGGAAACACGUUGGAGACCCAUGUGUUAGAGUUAUCCCUGGGAAGACAGUUGUGAAGAAAUUGUCGGGAAAUAUCAUAUGACAUCCCUUAUAUGUGGAAUCUAAAAAGAAAUGAUACAAAUGAGCUUACUGGCAAAACAGAAAGAGACUCACAGAUUUAGAACAUGAACUCAUGGUUGCUGGGGGGACGGGGUGGUUGGGGAUUUUAGGAAAGUCAUGUACACAGAGCUGUAUUUAGAGUGGAUAACCAAUGGGAACCUAUUGUAUAGCACAUGGAACUCUGCUCAAUGUUAUGUUCCAGACUGGAUGGGAGGGGGAUUUAGGGGAGAAUAAGUGAGUGAAGUUGCUCAGUCAAGUCUGACUCUUUGAAACCCCAUG
Bubalus bubalis (water buffalo) is the source of this 2908-nucleotide long non-coding RNA. RefSeq lists it as uncharacterized. The record is from RefSeq and is a predicted model, not a curated record. Lineage: Eukaryota; Metazoa; Chordata; Mammalia; Artiodactyla; Bovidae. The transcript is spliced from 3 exons.